RNAcentral lists this RNase P RNA (352 nucleotides) under bovine gut metagenome. Its description in RNAcentral is "Bacterial RNase P class A". It matches the Rfam family "Bacterial RNase P class A". Rfam says of the family: Ribonuclease P (RNase P) is a ubiquitous endoribonuclease, found in archaea, bacteria and eukarya as well as chloroplasts and mitochondria. Its best characterised activity is the generation of mature 5'-ends of tRNAs by cleaving the 5'-leader elements of precursor-tRNAs. Cellular RNase Ps are ribonucleoproteins. The record is from RNAcentral.
GGCGGCUUGUCGCUCGUUAACGUCUAAUGGUUGCGAGAGGAAAGUCCGGGCAACGCAGAGCAUCACAUUUCUUAACGGGAAGCUACGGGUGACCGUAGGGUUAAGGUGACAGAGAAUAACCGCCGCGUGAGCGGUAAGGGUGAAAAGGUGGGGUAAGAGCCCACCGGGCGCCGUGGCGACACGGUGUGCCGCACCACCUGUGAGUUGCAAGUUCAUGUAUACCGGCAUUCAAGGGCUGCUCGUCCAUUGCCGGGGGGUAGAACGCUAUACCGGCGCAGCAAUGCGUCGGACAGAUAAAUGACAGGCACCUGCCACUUGUGGCAGGCACAAAACCCGGCUUAUAGCCAUACUG